AUUGAACGCUGGCGGCAGGCCCAACACAUGCAAGUCGAACGGUAACAGGAAGAAGCUUGCUUCUUUGCUGACGAGUGGCGGACGGGUGAGUAAUGUCUGGGAAACUGCCUGAUGGAGGGGGAUAACUACUGGAAACGGUAGCUAAUACCGCAUAACGUCGCAAGACCAAAGAGGGGGACCUUCGGGCCUCUUGCCAUCGGAUGUGCCCAGAUGGGAUUAGCUAGUAGGUGGGGUAACGGCUCACCUAGGCGACGAUCCCUAGCUGGUCUGAGAGGAUGACCAGCCACACUGGAACUGAGACACGGUCCAGACUCCUACGGGAGGCAGCAGUGGGGAAUAUUGCACAAAGGGCGCAAGCCUGAUGCAGCCAUGCCGCGUGUAUGAAGAAGGCCUUCGGGUUGUAAAGUACUUUCAGCGGGGAGGAAGGGAGUAAAGUUAAUACCUUUGCUCAUUGACGUUACCCGCAGAAGAAGCACCGGCUAACUCCGUG
RNAcentral lists this ribosomal RNA (490 nucleotides) under uncultured bacterium. Its description in RNAcentral is "partial 16S ribosomal RNA". It matches the Rfam family "Bacterial small subunit ribosomal RNA", at positions 30 to 507 of the family's 1533-position model. The record is from RNAcentral.